UACGAAGGGGGCUAGCGUUGCUCGGAAUUACUGGGCGUAAAGGGCGCGUAGGCGGCACUGUUAGUCAGGCGUGAAAGUCCUGGGCUCAACCUGGGAACUGCGCUUGAUAUGGCAGAGCUAGAGGAUGGAAGAGGGUCGCGGAAUUCCCAGUGUAGAGGUGAAAUUCGUAGAUAUUGGGAAGAACACCGGUGGCGAAGGCGGCGACCUGGUCCAUUACUGACGCUGAGGCGCGACAGCGUGGGGAGCAAACAGG
This 253-nucleotide ribosomal RNA is filed under the name uncultured bacterium. RNAcentral's name for it is "partial 16S ribosomal RNA". It matches the Rfam family "Bacterial small subunit ribosomal RNA", at positions 524 to 776 of the family's 1533-position model. The record is from RNAcentral.